CUUUCUUUGCUGGCGACCGGCGCACGGGUGAGUAACACUAUCCAACCUGCCCUUUACUCGGGGAUAGCCUUUCGAAAGAAAGAUUAAUACCCGAUGGCAUAAUGAUUCCGCAUGGUUUCAUUAUUAAAGGAUUCCGGUAAAGGAUGGGGAUGCGUUCCAUUAGGUUGUUGGUGAGGUAACGGCCCACCAAGCCUUCGAUGGAUAGGGGUUCUGAGAGGAAGGUCCCCCACAUUGGAACUGAGACACGGUCCAA
This 253-nucleotide ribosomal RNA is filed under the name uncultured bacterium. Its description in RNAcentral is "partial 16S ribosomal RNA". It matches the Rfam family "Bacterial small subunit ribosomal RNA", at positions 79 to 334 of the family's 1533-position model. The record is from RNAcentral.